GCAUUGGUGGUUCAGUGGUGGGAUUCUUGCCUUCCAUGUGGUAGACCAGGUUUGAUUCCUGGCCGAUGUA
RNAcentral lists this transfer RNA (70 nucleotides) under Loxodonta africana (African savanna elephant). It matches the Rfam family "tRNA". Rfam says of the family: Transfer RNA (tRNA) molecules are approximately 80 nucleotides in length. Their secondary structure includes four short double-helical elements and three loops (D, anti-codon, and T loops). Further hydrogen bonds mediate the characteristic L-shaped molecular structure. tRNAs have two regions of fundamental functional importance: the anti-codon, which is responsible for specific mRNA codon recognition, and the 3' end, to which the tRNAs corresponding amino acid is attached (by aminoacyl-tRNA synthetases). tRNAs cope with the degeneracy of the genetic code in two manners: having more than one tRNA (with a specific anti-codon) for a particular amino acid; and 'wobble' base-pairing, i.e. permitting non-standard base-pairing at the 3rd anti-codon position. The record is from Rfam by way of RNAcentral. Lineage: Eukaryota; Metazoa; Chordata; Mammalia; Proboscidea; Elephantidae.